Molecule: ribosomal RNA, 468 nt
Filed under: uncultured bacterium
Lineage: Bacteria
Description: partial 16S ribosomal RNA
Rfam family: Bacterial small subunit ribosomal RNA (bases 49-468)
Source: RNAcentral
GGGGGGGGGGGGGGGCGGGGGGGGGGCGGGCGGGGCGGGGGGGGGGGCCCGGCGGGGGGGGGGUGCUCGAGGGGCGAGCGGGUGAGUAACACGUGAGUAGCCUGCCCUUGACUUGGGGAUAACUUCAGGAAACUGGGGCUAAUACCGGAUAGGAGCUCCUGCUGCAUGGUGGGGGUUGGAAAGUUUCGGCGGUUGGGGAUGGACUCGCGGCUUAUCAGCUUGUUGGUGGGGUAGUGGCUUACCAAGGCUUUGACGGGUAGCCGGCCUGAGAGGGUGACCGGCCACAUUGGGACUGAGAUACGGCCCAGACUCCUACGGGAGGCAGCAGUGGGGAAUAUUGCACAAUGGGCGGAAGCCUGAUGCAGCAACGCCGCGUGCGGGAUGACGGCCUUCGGGUUGUAAACCGCUUUCGCCUGUGACGAAGCGUGAGUGACGGUAAUGGGUAAAGAAGCACCGGCUAACUACGUG